Long non-coding RNA from Sycon ciliatum, 747 nucleotides. RefSeq lists it as uncharacterized. The transcript is spliced from 3 exons. NCBI's taxonomy places the organism in Eukaryota, Metazoa, Porifera, Calcarea, Leucosolenida, Sycettidae. The record is from RefSeq and is a predicted model, not a curated record.
UAGUGUGAAUGUAGAACUGUGUCAGUGUGUGUAAGGACUCCCUGCAGGUUGGCGUCCGACUGCAAAAGAGAUCUCGAGAGCUAGAGAGUUGUUGGUUCCGUAGCAUGCAGUCAGGUCAGCAACUGAGGUCCGUAGCUGCAGGCCCGUGUAGUAGAUCUACUGCCAGUACUGGCUGUAGUUCCGUAGACUAUCUCUAUCAGAUUGAGGUGGCAUGACAUGGUUGUAUUUUGAGCUUCUGACAGCUCGUGCUGUAACGGUGGAAGGACGGCAGCCGGAGCAGGAUUGGGAAUAUGGACCAAGUUAGUUAUCGCUAGUUCGCCAGCAAGUAGUUCUCAUCGAGUGAGUGAAGAGUGUUCCCUCACCGCAUCUACACCACAAACCACCCAUCUCAAACAUCCUCAUCUGUUUUCCUAAGGAGAUGGCUUUUCACUCCAUACAAGGCUGCUCAGGUGCAGUGGUUGUCAUCCGAUGAUGCUCAACAGGCACCAAGUACUCAGUGCUGGUCUAUCAUAACACACCCCUCAUCACUAGACAUUGUAGCAGCAUAGGUAUCAUUGCUGCACAUUGUAGCAGCAUAGCACAUUGUAGCAGCAUAGGUAUAAUUGCUGCGCACUGUCACAGCAAUGAUACCUAUGUAUCAUCAGUGCUGCACACUGUCACAGCAUAGCCUAGGUAUCAUUACUGCACAGCAUAGGUGUCAUCACAGCACCGCGUGUGGCAUUGUAGCAGCAUCGGUAAUUAAUAGUA